This 253-nucleotide ribosomal RNA is filed under the name uncultured bacterium. RNAcentral describes it as "partial 16S ribosomal RNA". It matches the Rfam family "Bacterial small subunit ribosomal RNA", at positions 524 to 776 of the family's 1533-position model. The record is from RNAcentral.
UACAGAGGUCUCAAGCGUUGUUCGGAUUCAUUGGGCGUAAAGGGUGUGUAGGUGGCGCCGUAAGUGGGGUGUGAAAUCCCGGGGCUUAACCCCGGGACUGCAUUCCAUACUGCGGUGCUUGAGGACUGGAGAGGAGACUGGAAUUUACGGUGUAGCAGUGAAAUGCGUAGAGAUCGUAAGGAAGACCAGUGGCGAAGGCGGGUCUCUGGACAGUUCCUGACGCUGAGGCACGAAGGUCAGGGGAGCAAACGGG